UUCAUCGUCAGCCGUCGCUCAUCUGUCGCUUUCACUGUCCCUCUCUCCAUAGUAACGAAUUACCUAAAAAUCGUUCUCGAUUAACUGGAGACAGAAGAUGGAAAUCAAAUCACGAAAGUGAAUUUUUUGAAGAGAUCAUCGACGUACUUACCUCAAUAUCGGAAAGGAUCAUCGGCGAUCCUCUCUAUAAGAACAAAGAACUUGAAAGAUUUAGGGUUUUUUUCUGUUUGGAAGAAGAAGAAGGAGCGUGCAGAAAUUUUGAUUUCUCAUGAAAGAAGAGAUGCGUGAGCCGACCCUUAACCGUUCUCGAUUAACCGGAGACAGAAGAUGGAGAUCAAAUCACGAAACAAGAUGCUUUCCUCCGAUCAAAUCUUACGGAUAGAUAUUGAGAUGAAGAAUGAAGUUAUUGAGAUCAUCAGCUUAUGUCAAUAUCGGAAGGAUCAUCGGCGAUUCUCUCUAUAAGAACAUAGAACUUGAAAAAAUUAGGGUUUUUUCUGUUUGGAAGAAGAAAAAGGAGCGUGCAUAAAUUUUUGAUUUCUUAAUGAAAGAAGAGAUGACGGUUAUCUUUCGACUGAUUUCCUUUUUUUGUUCUU
Molecule: small RNA, 593 nt
Filed under: Arabidopsis thaliana (thale cress)
Lineage: Eukaryota; Viridiplantae; Streptophyta; Magnoliopsida; Brassicales; Brassicaceae
Description: putative long intergenic non-coding RNA
Source: RNAcentral